This 1185-nucleotide ribosomal RNA is filed under the name uncultured Bifidobacterium sp. RNAcentral's name for it is "bacterial SSU rRNA". It matches the Rfam family "Bacterial small subunit ribosomal RNA", at positions 173 to 1357 of the family's 1533-position model. The record is from RNAcentral. Lineage: Bacteria; Bacillati; Actinomycetota; Actinomycetes; Bifidobacteriales; Bifidobacteriaceae.
UAAGCGCACAGGACCGCAUGGUCCGGUGUGAAAAACUCCGGUGGUAUAAGAUGGACCCGCGUUGGAUUAGCUAGUUGGCAGGGUAACGGCCUACCAAGGCGACGAUCCAUAGCCGGCCUGAGAGGGUGAACGGCCACAUUGGAACUGAGACAAGGCCCAGACUCCUACGGGAGGCAGCAGUGGGGAAUAUUGCACAAUGGGCGCAAGCCUGAUGCAGCGACGCCGCGUGCGGGAUGGAGGCCUUCGGGUUGUAAACCGCUUUUGUUCAAGGGCAAGGCACGGCUUCGGGCCGUGUUGAGUGGAUUGUUCGAAUAAGCACCGGCUAACUACGUGCCAGCAGCCGCGGUAAUACGUAGGGUGCGAGCGUUAUCCGGAUUUAUUGGGCGUAAAGGGCUCGUAGGCGGUUCGUCGCGUCCGGUGUGAAAGUCCAUCGCCUAACGGUGGAUCUGCGCCGGGUACGGGCGGGCUGGAGUGCGGUAGGGGAGACUGGAAUUCCCGGUGUAACGGUGGAAUGUGUAGAUAUCGGGAAGAACACCAAUGGCGAAGGCAGGUCUCUGGGCCGUUACUGACGCUGAGGAGCGAAAGCGUGGGGAGCGAACAGGAUUAGAUACCCUGGUAGUCCACGCCGUAAACGGUGGAUGCUGGAUGUGGGGCCCUUUCCACGGGUCCUGUGUCGGAGCCAACGCGUUAAGCAUCCCGCCUGGGGAGUACGGCCGCAAGGCUAAAACUCAAAGAAAUUGACGGGGGCCCGCACAAGCGGCGGAGCAUGCGGAUUAAUUCGAUGCAACGCGAAGAACCUUACCUGGGCUUGACAUGUGCCUGACGAUCCCGGAGACGGGGUUUCCCUUCGGGGCGGGUUCACAGGUGGUGCAUGGUCGUCGUCAGCUCGUGUCGUGAGAUGUUGGGUUAAGUCCCGCAACGAGCGCAACCCUCGCCGCGUGUUGCCAGCGGGUCAUGCCGGGAACUCACGUGGGACCGCCGGGGUUAACUCGGAGGAAGGUGGGGAUGACGUCAGAUCAUCAUGCCCCUUACGUCCAGGGCUUCACGCAUGCUACAAUGGCCGGUACAACGGGGUGCGACACGGUGACGUGGGGCGGAUCCCUGAAAACCGGUCUCAGUUCGGAUCGCAGUCUGCAACUCGACUGCGUGAAGGUGGAGUCGCUAGUAAUCGCGGAUCAGCAACGC